Molecule: ribosomal RNA, 548 nt
Filed under: uncultured bacterium
Lineage: Bacteria
Description: bacterial SSU rRNA
Rfam family: Bacterial small subunit ribosomal RNA
Source: RNAcentral
ACUGAAUAGAUACCCGGGUAGUCCAUGCUGUAAACGAUGUCAACUAGCCGUUGGGGCCCUUGAGGCUUUAGUGGCGCAGCUAACGCGAUAAGUUGACCGCCUGGGGAGUACGGCCGCAAGGUUAAAACUCAAAUGAAUUGACGGGGGCCCGCACAAGCGGUGGAGUAUGUGGUUUAAAUUCGAUGCAACGCGAAGAACCUUACCUGGCCUUGACAUAUCCGGAACCCUGCAGAGAUGCGGGGGUGCCUUCGGGAAUCGGAAUACAGGUGCUGCAUGGCUGUCGUCAGCUCGUGUCGUGAGAUGUUGGGUUAAGUCCCGCAACGAGCGCAACCCUUAUCCUUAGUUGCCAGCGCGUAAAGGCGGGAACUCUAGGGAGACUGCCGGUGACAAACCGGAGGAAGGCGGGGACGACGUCAAGUCAUCAUGGCCCUUACGGCCAGGGCUACACACGUACUACAAUGGUCGGUACAAAGGGUUGCUAAGCCGCGAGGCCACGCCAAUCUCAAAAAGCCGAUCGUAGUCCAGAUUGGAGUCUGCAACUCGACUCC